CAGCACAAAGGGGAGCCGAGGCUCCCCUUUAAUUUGUCGUUGCGUGCUCUUUUUUUAUUAUUAAGGGGCGGUCUAUUGUUGUUUUUGGCAACCGUGGCCCUUUACUGCUGUUUUGUGCGACCCCCAUUCAGGGUCAAGAGCAAACGUAUUUUUUUGAGCGCUGAUGACUUCUCGACAAGCGAUCCAACCAGUUCGGGAGCUACCUAGAGGUAGUU
This 215-nucleotide unclassified non-coding RNA is filed under the name Pseudomonas sp. ok272. RNAcentral's name for it is "Pseudomonas sRNA P29". RNAcentral also lists the same sequence under 1 other name. The record is from RNAcentral. Lineage: Bacteria; Pseudomonadati; Pseudomonadota; Gammaproteobacteria; Pseudomonadales; Pseudomonadaceae.